AUGGCGACGGAGUCGGAAGGGGACAUGGAGUUCCUCUGGAAGUGGCGCAAGUACCUGCUGCUGCUCGCCACGCUGGUCGCCAGCGUCACCUACGGCGCCGGCCUCAACCCGCCCGGCGGCGUGUGGUCCAAGGACCACGAUGGAGGCAACACCCCACAGCAGCGCGCCGGCGCCGUCCUGCCACCAGCGCCCCCGUCUCUUGCGGUGGCCCCGGCGCCGGCGGCCUACCCAUUCCGCGUCGGCGACCCCGUGCUCGUGCACACCUACGCGGACAGGUACACCGCCUUCUUCUACUGCAACGCGGCCGCCUUCGUCGCCUCCCUGGUCAUCAUCAUAUUCCUGCUGGACCGGCGUAUCAGCGGCAACCGUGUCGGCCUCACCGUGCUCCGCUCCGCCAUGCUGCUCGACCUGCUCGCGCUCAUGGCCGCCUUCGCCGCCGGCAGCUGCCGCAGCGUGGUUGGGUCCAUCUACGUCUCCGCGCUCUUCGCCCUCGUCUUCGCCUACGUCGCCAUACACGUCCGCUUGGAAAGGAGCAAGGAACCGGCAGACGAGAGCCACCUCAAGGAGCGCCGCAAGUUCCUGCUGCUGCUCGCCACCUUCGCCACGCCGCUGACAUACGGCGCCGGACUGGCGCCACCGGGAGGCUUCUGGAGCGAGACCGGGGCGGGGCACCGCGCCGGCGCCCCGCUGCUGCACGAUGGGCCAUACAAGAUCCGCUAUCACGCCUUCUUCUACGCCAACGCCAACUCCUUCGUCGCUUCUCUUGCCAUCAUCAUGCUGCUCACGAGCAGCACGCUGAGCGGCCGCCUCGCCAGGUCCUACGCGCUGCCGGUGUGUGUGCUGGUGGAGCUGCUGGGCCUCAUGGCCGCCUACGCCGCCGGCAGCUGCAGGUGGAUCACCACCACCGUGUACAUCGCCUGCCUUGUUGGCGCGGUGUUCCUGUACAUCCUGCUGCAGGCGGUCAUCGCAGGGUACGUCUCCGGCAUACACAAGGAAUGGACGCAGAGUAAUAAUCCAAAUAAUGAAGAAAAAGCAGUGCAACAGGGAGGUGUGACCAGGAGACUCGAAAGCAACAAUGGGCAGCAGGGUGCGGAGAAGGUGGAAGAGUCACGGUCGCUCCUGCUGCUACUGGCGACACUGGCGGCGACGGUGACUUACCAGGCAGGCCUGAGCCCGCCGGGCGGCGUCUGGCCGGAAGGCCAUCUGGAUAGCAGUCACACUGCCGGAAACCCGGUGCUCCACGACAUUAACCCCAAGAGGUAUAAGGCUUUCUACCACUGCAACACGGCGGCGUUCGUGGCGUCGCUGGUAGUCAUCGUAAUUGUCCAGAGCAAGGAGCUGAGCUCCGGCGCCGUCGUCAGACGCGCCGCGCUUAACACGGUCAUGAUACUGGACUUGUUCGGCCUCAUGGGCGCCUACGUUGCGGGGAGCUGCCGGGACGGCACAACCACCAUCUACGUUGCCUCCCUAGCCGUCGCCAUCUUCGUCUACUCCAUCGCCAAGGUCGUGGCGUUCUCGGCUAAGGGCAAGCACAGCAAGCUGACGCGUUGCGUGCAAAGCAUGUGCGAUAACCUUGCACGAUUGCUCCGCCUCACCUCCGACGUGUCAUCGCAGCAAUGGAAAGGGGGACAAGCUCAAGGAGCGGUGCAUGUUCCUACUGCUGCUGAUCACCUUCAAGGUGAGCUCGACUUGGAGUCCAAGAGUAAGCAUAUUCUUGAAGGUGAAAAGCGUAGUCUUGAGAGGAAGCGCAAGUUCUUGCUGCAGCUCGCCAUACUCGCGGCCACUGUCACGUACCAAACCGGGUUGAACCCGCCAGGUGGCUUCUGGACGGAGAGCGACGGGGGAAAAUCGGUCACCGCCGGUGACCCAGUCCUCCUCGACCACUACAGGGUCAGGUACCAAGUGUUCUUUUACUGCAACGCGACGGGCUUCAUGGCAUCCGUCGCCGUCAUCCUGCUCCUGGUGAACCAGACACUGUCCAAGCAAGGCAUUCGGAGUCACGCACUCCAUGUCUGCAUCUUGGUUGGACUCCUGGGCCUCAUGGGGGCUUACGCCGCCGGCAGCUGCCGGAAGCUGCGAACCUCAAUCUAUGUCUUUGCGCUUGUGGCCGCGGUGGUCGCCUUCCUCCUCCUGCAAAUCCUACUUUAUGUGUUCGCGGACCGCGACCACUGGUUAGAUCGGCUGCCACGGCUUCCUUCGCGGGUGAAGGUGCUAUUCAAGCCGCUCUGGACAGGGCCGACCGGCUCAAGCAAGGACAAGAGCAAGGAGGAUAAACCGGAGAGCGAGAGGUACCUGAAGCGAAAGUACCUGAUGGUUCUCGGCAUCCUGGCGGCGAGCGUGACGUACCAGGCUGGUCUCGCGCCUCCCGGCGGCACGUGGGGCGACGACGAUACCGCUUCGCCGUCGCCCUUGCCGUCGCCAUCGGCACACCCACCCACCGUCGCCGGCAACCCGAUCCUGCUUGAUUUCAACGCUCCACGGUACCAGGCAUUCUUCUACUGCAACGCCACGUCGUUCGUGGCCUCCAUCGUUGUCAUCAUGCUGUUGCUGCAGCGCACCCUGAAGCCACACGGCGCGCCACUUUGGGCGAUGCAGACCGCCGUGUUGCUGGACCUGCUGGGCCUACUGGGCGCCUACGCCGCCGGCAGCUGUAGGGACUGGGAGACGUCGAUCUACGUCAUCACACUCGUCGCCAUUGUGGUCCUCUUCAUCGCGCUGCACGUGCUGCUGUCAUUCGACGUCGUAUUUAAGAAGGCCAAGGAGCUCAUGCCCAACAAGUGCGUUGAAGUCGAUGAUAAGGCCAGCCGCAAUGACAAGUUGACCAUUGCAUAG
Molecule: ribosomal RNA, 2832 nt
Filed under: Triticum aestivum (bread wheat)
Lineage: Eukaryota; Viridiplantae; Streptophyta; Magnoliopsida; Poales; Poaceae
Description: partial small subunit ribosomal RNA
Source: RNAcentral